UAAGGAAUAUUGGUCAAUGGGCGAAAGCCUGAACCAGCCAUCCCGCGUGAAGGAUGAAUGCCCUAUGGGUUGUAAACUUCUUUUGUUUGGAAAGAAACGCCUGGAUUUAUCCGGGCCUGACGGUACCUUACGA
Molecule: ribosomal RNA, 133 nt
Filed under: uncultured bacterium
Lineage: Bacteria
Description: partial 16S ribosomal RNA
Rfam family: Bacterial small subunit ribosomal RNA
Source: RNAcentral